GACAGAGGGUGCAAACGUUGUUCGGAAUUACUGGGCGUAAAGCGCGUGUAGGCGGCUUUGCAAGUCAGGUGUGAAAGCCCUGGGCUCAACCUAGGAAGUGCACUUGAAACUGCAGAGCUUGAAUGCUGGAGAGGGAAGCGGAAUUCUCGGUGUAGAGGUGAAAUUCGUAGAUAUCGAGAGGAACACCGGUGGCGAAGGCGGCUUCCUGGACAGUUAUUGACGCUGAGACGCGAAAGCGUGGGGAGCGAACAGG
This 253-nucleotide ribosomal RNA is filed under the name uncultured bacterium. RNAcentral describes it as "partial 16S ribosomal RNA". It matches the Rfam family "Bacterial small subunit ribosomal RNA", at positions 524 to 776 of the family's 1533-position model. The record is from RNAcentral.